This 253-nucleotide ribosomal RNA is filed under the name uncultured bacterium. RNAcentral's name for it is "partial 16S ribosomal RNA". It matches the Rfam family "Bacterial small subunit ribosomal RNA", at positions 524 to 776 of the family's 1533-position model. The record is from RNAcentral.
UACGUAGGGUGCUAGCGUUGUUCGGAAUCAUUGGGCGUAAAGCGCGUGUAGGCGGUUAGUUAAGUCAGAUGUGAAAUCCCUGGGCUCAACCGAGGAAGUGCAUUUGAAACUAAUUAGCUAGAGAGUGGUAGAGGAAGGUGGAAUUCCGUGUGUAGAGGUGAAAUUCGUAGAUAUACGGAGGAAUACCGGUGGCGAAGGCGGCCUUCUGGACCACUUCUGACGCUGAGACGCGAAAGCGUGGGGAGCAAACAGG